Non-coding RNA from Arachis ipaensis, 824 nucleotides. NCBI's taxonomy places the organism in Eukaryota, Viridiplantae, Streptophyta, Magnoliopsida, Fabales, Fabaceae. The record is from RefSeq and is a predicted model, not a curated record.
UCAGGACAUGUCUUGUAGCUUAUUUCUCCUCAUUAAACCAAAUUUUGUUGCUUUAUUCUAAUUAUUUGAAUGUGUUCUUGUUUGACAGUUGACUGAACAAAAAUUGACAAGAAAGGAAGGUAUAAGCUUUUCUUGUUUGAGGUUACUUGCUAAGAUUAAAGCCUCGCUAUCUUUCACUUGAAAUUUCUGAAGGAAGCUUGCAGACAAGAUUGCAGCUUCUGGUUACUAUGUGGUUGUUCCGAACUUCUUUUAUGGUGAACCCUAUGAUCCUCAGAAUACUAAUAGACCUUUAGGAGAGUGGCUAAAAGAUCAUGGAACGGUUAGUUCUUUUUAAUGAUUCAACAUUAUUUCUUUGUUCAUAAUGAUUCAACAUUAUUUCCCCAUGAUCCAAACCACAAGCUGCAAAUCCACCAUAUCCUCUCUCAUCCUCUCCUCUUUCUCCAAUGAAACCUCUCAGUUCCUACUGUGAUUCGAUCCUCUACUGAUUGGAAGAACACUAGGAAGAACAAGAAGUGCAGAAGGAAGAACAUUGAUGGAUUGUGUGGUGGCAAGGAAGAAUGCUUCUUCAAGAAGGAACCUUGAUGUUGUUGAGAGAGCAACACAUAGGGAAGAGUGUAGAUCGGAUAUAGUAAGGUAGACAUCCUCUGCUCAGAAAGUGGGAAGCAGCAAAUAAUUUUGAUGGACCAAGAAUCUCAAGAAGCAAGUAUAUUGCCGUCAUCACUAAGAAGUUCAAGAAAGAAUGAAGCUAUCCAUAAAUUAGGAUAUUGAAUCUUGAUGAGUCCACUAGUAGUUAUUUGUCAUCUAAUGUAUUUAGAUUGUAUUAU